This 263-nucleotide ribosomal RNA is filed under the name uncultured bacterium. RNAcentral describes it as "partial 16S ribosomal RNA". It matches the Rfam family "Bacterial small subunit ribosomal RNA", at positions 793 to 1055 of the family's 1533-position model. The record is from RNAcentral.
GUCCUGGCCGUAAACGGUGAACACUAGGUGUUGGAGGCAUCGACCCCUCCAGUGCCGCAGCUAACGCAUUAAGUGUUCCGCCUGGGGAGUACGACCGCAAGGUUGAAACUCAAAGGAAUUGACGGGGGCCCGCACAAGCGGUGGAGCAUGUGGUUUAAUUCGACGCAACGCGAAGAACCUUACCGGGGUUUGACAUGCACGGGACAGGUGUGGAAACACACCCUCCCUUCGGGGUCCGUGCACAGGUGCUGCAUGGCUGUCGU